CUGGUUGAUCCUGCCAGUAGUCAUAUGCUUGUCUCAAAGAUUAAGCCAUGCAUGUCUAAGUUCAAGCAAAAAUAAUGUGAAACCGCGAAUGGCUCAUUAUAUCAGUUAUGGUUCCUUAGAUCGCACUUACUACUUGGAUAACUGUGGUAAUUCUAGAGCUAAUACAUGCGUUGGACUCCGAACUUUACGGUGAGGAGUGCUUUUAUUAGAUCAAAGCCAAUCGGGUCUUCGGAUUCGUUUAGUUGGUGACUCUGAAUAACUUUGCUGAUCGCACGGUCUUGCACCGGCGACGCAUCUUUCAAGUGUCUGCCUUAUCAACUGUCGAUGGUAGGUUAUGCGCCUACCAUGGUUGUAACGGGUAACGGGGAAUCAGGGUUCGAUUCCGGAGAGGGAGCCUGAGAAACGGCUACCACAUCCAAGGAAGGCAGCAGGCGCGCAAAUUACCCACUCCCGGCACGGGGAGGUAGUGACGAAAAAUAACGAUACGGAACUCAUACGAGGCUCCGUAAUCGGAAUGAGUACACUUUAAAUCCUUUAACGAGGAUCUAUUGGAGGGCAAGUCUGGUGCCAGCAGCCGCGGUAAUUCCAGCUCCAAUAGCGUAUAUUAAAGUUGUUGUGGUUAAAAAGCUCGUAGUUGGAUCUCGGUUUCGGGUGAAUGGUGCACCUUGCGGUGUUUACUAUUUAUUCGGACGAUUUUGUUGGUUCGUUCCUGGUUCUCUUAAUCGAGUGCCUUGAGUGGCCAACACGUUUACUUUGAAAAAAUUGGAGUGCUCAAAGCAGGCGCUACAGCCUGAACAUUAGUGCAUGGAAUAAUGGAAUAGGAUCUCGGUUCUAUUUCGUUGGCUUUCGGAGUCGAGGUAAUGAUUAAUAGGGACAGACGGGGGCAUUCGUACUGCGACGUUAGAGGUGAAAUUCUUGGAUCGUCGCAAGACGAACUACUGCGAAAGCAUUUGCCAAGAAUGUUUUCAUUAAUCAAGAACGAAAGUUAGAGGUUCGAAGGCGAUCAGAUACCGCCCUAGUUCUAACCAUAAACGAUGUCGACCGGCAAUCUGCUCUCGUUAAAUUAAUGACUGAGCAGGCGGCCUGCUGGAAACAAGAGUAUUUGGAUUCCAGGGGGAGUAUGGUUGCAAAGCUGAAACUUAAAAGAAUUGACGGAAGGGCACCACCAGGAGUGGAGCCUGCGGCUUAAUUUGACCCAACACGGGAAAUCUCACCAGGCCCGGACACCGGAAGGAUUGACAGAUUGAGAGCUCUUUCUUGAUUCGGUGGGUGGUGGUGCAUGGCCGUUCUUAGUUGGUGGAGCGAUUUGUCUGGUUAAUUCCGAUAACGAACGAGACUCUGGCCUACUAAAUAGACGUCAAAUCUUCAA
RNAcentral lists this ribosomal RNA (1369 nucleotides) under metagenome. Its description in RNAcentral is "SSU rRNA". It matches the Rfam family "Eukaryotic small subunit ribosomal RNA", at positions 4 to 1373 of the family's 1831-position model. The record is from RNAcentral.